GUACACACCGCCCGUCACACCAUGGGAAUUGGAUCUACCCGAAGGCGGUGCGCCAACCGUAAGGAGGCAGCCGACCACGGUAGGUUCAGUGACUGGGGUGAAGUCGUAACGAGGUAGCCGUAGGUGAACCUGCAGAAGGAU
This 141-nucleotide ribosomal RNA is filed under the name uncultured eukaryote. Its description in RNAcentral is "partial small subunit ribosomal RNA". It matches the Rfam family "Bacterial small subunit ribosomal RNA", at positions 1383 to 1523 of the family's 1533-position model. The record is from RNAcentral.